CGUAGGUGAACCUGCGGAAGGAUCAUUAACGAGUUAGGGUCUUCUAGGCCCGACCUCCCAACCCUUUGUUUACUGAACCAUUGUUGCCUCGGUGGGUCCGUCUUACGACCGCCGGGGGAUCGCCGCGAGGCGCCCCCUGGCCAGCGUCCACCGAUAGCCCAACCUUUAAAACCCUUUGUGAAUCGUGUCUUAUGUCUAAAUUUAUGAUUAAACAAUCAAAACAAAACUUUCAACAACGGAUCUCUUGGUUCUG
Molecule: unclassified non-coding RNA, 253 nt
Filed under: plant metagenome
Description: partial contains small subunit ribosomal RNA, internal transcribed spacer 1, and 5.8S ribosomal RNA
Source: RNAcentral